UUUAGUGAACUAUUAUGUUCGAUCUAUACUUUUAGAGAUUUGAAACGGUUUUAUAUUUAACAAAUGUAGAGCCGGUUCUUCAGGAAAUUAAGCCCGAAUGGCCGCAUCUGGUACACUCUAAACGGUGCAAAACUAUUCAUUUGUUAUGUUGAAUAUCAGAUCUUAAUGAAUAAUGCAAAAAUAAAAUGAAUGCCAUUGGAAAUAAAUAAAGAUAACUUGGCAUGUCCUAAAAAUCGCGUUUUUCUACCCGACUUGACCCAGUGACUCACCACAAUAACUCCAUCUACAAAUGUACUCCCGAGUUCCUCCGGCCAUUUCUAGAAACUAGAUAUGUGGGCCAGUAUACUGACAAAAAAUUAUUUGAAUCCGUUAAGUAUUCGCUGGGUGGUAAGGGUUUUAGUAUUUUUGCUUUCACUCAGGCCUAUACGGGUUAAAACCCAUACCCUAAAAAAAUCCAACCAAACCACAGAGAUCUUAACAAUACAAUAAAUGGUUCAAUGGUGUUGCAUCUUCAUAAACGUGCGUAGGAUAGACCAAAACGUCGUGUGUUGGCUGUUGCAGUGUGUACACGCCUAUGUGAUUCUAUCCGUUUACUUGGUGAAAGUAGCGAACAACACGUUGAUAACGUUUUGAAAGAAAAACGAUAUGAGAGAGAUGAUACUAACACGAGCAGUUUACUGUCUAAAAUUUGUUUACGAAUAUAAAGAAAAGGCUUGAACCUUUAUUCAAGUGAUGGGCAGAGUUAUUGUUCUAUGCAAAAUAAAUUAAGAUAGGCAAUUUUACUCGUCCUUUUGGAAGAAACUCCAUCAUUUCGCUAAUAUCUUCAGUUACUUGAGGGUAAUAUAAACGUAAUAUAUUUGCUAUGGAUACGAUGUACUGUCACUAUAUCAACAGUCUGACGAAUAGAAAAUCCCAAGAACAUGAACUACUCACUAAAAUCAGUGGAAACUCACAAAAAGUUCAAGCCAACGCGACCCUUCUUGUUAGCCCAAUGAAAACAAACAUUUUUUUUUCAUAAUCAUUCAAUGAUUAUCUAAAAGGUUCAAUUCACUCUCAAACUGUCAUGUUCGAUUAGCUUUCCAUGAGUCGAUGGUCCUUUCAGAUAUCGACUCAUGGAGGUUUGAUAAUAGAACAAAAUUAUUCUCAAAAGCUGUGUAAGAACUCAGUCUGAUGUACCCACGAUGAAGACACUAGCGCCGCCAAGCAGCUUGUUGCAUCAGUCAGUGGUGAAUAUAAAUUGUAUCCUCCUCCUGCAACUCGGCCCAUAACCUCUAGCACUAAACCUGAUCUAAGACAUUUCACCUCCAAGGGUUUUGUCUGUACAAUGAACAACGUCGGGAGAGGCCGAAAGUAGUGCACUGCACUAAACUUCGGUUAUGUGGUGCAGCACUCUAAUUCCAACAACAUGGUUGGCAAAUAAGCAGCAUUUUUCGGAUUUGCGUUUAGUGCUAGAACACCAAUAAAUCACUUGAAUAAAUUUCGACAUUAAAAAAAAGAACAGCCACUUACAAAAAGCCACUAUUGAACCACAACCUCUAACUUUAAAUGUAGCCAAGAACCUAUACGUUGUACAUUAUCUCCUCGUCCUACUAUUCCUCUCGAAAAUGCCCCUCCGACAAGUAAUCCAUUCUCCUCCCGUGCACUACCGUAAUCACGAAAUAAUGCUUGAAUCGAAUUAUAACAGAAAACCAAAACACACACAAAUAUGAAAAGACGUUCAUUGUUUGACUAUUGCUAUUGUUUCUCUAUUUUUUGUAUAACCGCAGUUAUCUAAUAACUAAAAAAAACUUAUAAGAAAUAGUUAAAAUAUAUAUUAAGACAAGAUACACAGCUACGCAUCUCAUAUCGGCAGCUAGGUAAGAAAAAGUAAAAUAAAUAGAUAAACAAAAAUCUAACAAAAAAUAAACACUGCAAUAUCGAUUCUCAAUGUGAAAUUAACAAAACUUCAGAUCGAAUAGCUGUUUUUGAACGAAAGAUAAAGCAAGAUUGUACUUGAAAAACAAAUUCAUGCAAGAAAUAUUAACCAAAAGUAUCCACCAAGAAAAAGCAAACCGAAAUAUAGAAGAAACAAAACACACGCUCUCUUUCCCUCUUUGCAAGCUACUGGGUUGUACAACCCUUUAGAGUAAAAAAAAAAACAAAUAAUAGAAGAACGACAGUGGCCGGUCACGCUGUACUUGUUUCUCUCAAAAUUCAUCUCAAAAUUAAAAACGGUAUGGACCAUUUAGAAAACACACAUACAAAAAAGACAAAGUAUGUUUGGCUGAAGAAGAUUAACGAAUUGGAAACACAAAAACACACACACAUACACCGAGUCGAAUUGUGCUUGUGGCCGGAGUAGAUAGAUUCACUCCCUGUCACACUGACUCACGCAAAUGAGGAGGAAGAGAUUGUAGUAAAUGAGCAUAUAAGUAUAUUAAUAAAACAUUAAAUGAAAAAAGAGAUACUUUUUAGUAGAAUUUUAUUAUAAUUUUAGAACAAUUUUUUCACAGAAAAAGUAUUGAAAAAAAAUGACGAAAAAAAUUAAGUAAACAAAGUAAUAAGAUUAUAAAUAAAAACAAAAGUAAAGUAAUGAACUUUAGGUGAAUGGAAUGUUUUUUAUACUUGUAGCUGAAAUUUUUUAAAAUCAGAAAUGCAAAAAAUGUGAAAAUACUAAUUUUUGAGACAACAAAUAUUACCAAAAAAUAAUUAUAUGAAAAAGUAUAUAUUAUACCAUUGAAGACAUCACGGACGAAAAAUGCGACGUUAGAAGGAGGAAAUUUUCGGCUCUAUAAAAAAAACUCUUUCCAAUUGUCCCUCUUUUGUGCAAAGAUAAAAUGCAAACAUGAAAAAAAGAAUAACACCCCUUCACUCUCUGCCAUGGGCGCGAAUCACGUGCCUCCUCUAGUUUGUUUCGCCGUUCUUCUCUAGCGUUUGUGUUUUGUUAACUAUUUUUUACUGUGUUCCAAUUGAAAUGCUAGCGAAAUAAUUGUUUUUAAACUAAUUUUAGCAAAAGCAUAAAACCAAAACGGCCAUACGUGUCGAUCGUUGUCGUUAUCAAUCUGAAUAGUAUUAGUUCGAACAGGUCUAAACGCGCUAUUACCACAUUGAAAAUGUACUAGCAAAAUAUACAAAUACAUAUUAUUAUUCUUGUUUAUAAAUAUCGAUUUUUUCUAGAACUUUUUUGUCCGCGGUAGCCAAAGUAAGUGUUUUGUUUAUGUAGAGCAAAUUUUUACUUGUAAGAUCGCGUAGGAUCAGAUUUCUGGUUAAGUUUUCCGAUUCCGCAAAAUUCUCGACCGACUUUUUUCACUAUCCGACCGUCAACCACACACACUGAUACAUCCAAAAACAAUAAUAUAAACGUACACACAGACACAUCCUCGAGUCGGUUAGAAUAUUUUCCACUGAGUAAUUGAGAAUGUAAAACUCAACAACCGGAAAGUAAACAGAAGAAAAAAAUAUGUGAGAAAACUGUUUUUGUACCAUUUUGGUAGCGAAUAUGUAGUACGAUUUUUUAGAAUCAUCAACAAAAAAGCAACUUUAAACAGAAAAAAAAUCCGCGUAAUGAUGCGGGAGGAAGAAUAUAAAAAAAUAAUAAAAAGUCUUUGAGUAGUUUUUAAACGAGAAAUUAUUAAAUGAAAAUCAGAAAAACAAAGUACACGGACUCACUCACACAUACACUGAUACAAGAAGAACAAAGAUGGCGCGUAUCGUGUGGGUGCGUGAAAAAAAUAAAUAAAUAGAUGACGGUGAAGAGGAAAACAGACACACAGAAGUAGUUCAACGUAGAGAAGAAAAAAAAACUCUUGUAUUCCUAUAUUGUAGUUUAAUUUUUUAUCUAUUUUUUACUGAAUCAAAAAAGAAUGAAUAAUAAAGAAAACGUAUUUUUAA
Aedes aegypti (yellow fever mosquito) is the source of this 3870-nucleotide long non-coding RNA. RefSeq lists it as uncharacterized. The transcript is spliced from 2 exons. Lineage: Eukaryota; Metazoa; Arthropoda; Insecta; Diptera; Culicidae. The record is from RefSeq and is a predicted model, not a curated record.